Molecule: ribosomal RNA, 1666 nt
Filed under: human gut metagenome
Description: bacterial LSU rRNA
Rfam family: Bacterial large subunit ribosomal RNA
Source: RNAcentral
GUGGCUGGGGGUGAAAGGCCAAUCAAACCGGGAGAUAGCUGGUUCUCCCCGAAAUCUAUUUAGGUAGAGCCUUGAGCGGACACCUUCGGGGGUAGAGCACUGUUUCGGCUAGGGGUCCAUCCCGGAUUACCAACCCGAUGCAAACUACGAAUACCGAAGAGUGAUACUCAGGAGACACACGGCGGGUGCUAACGUCCGUCGUGGAGAGGGAAACAACCCAGACCGCCAGCUAAGGUCCCAAAGUCUAUAUUAAGUGGGAAACGAAGUGGGAAGGCUUAGACAGCUAGGAUGUUGGCUUAGAAGCAGCCAUCAUUUAAAGAAAGCGUAAUAGCUCACUAGUCGAGUCGGCCUGCGCGGAAGAUGUAACGGGGCUCAAAUAUAGCACCGAAGCUGCGGCAUCAGACGAAAGUCUGUUGGGUAGGGGAGCGUUCUGUAAGCGGAUGAAGGUGAAUCGAGAGGUUUGCUGGACGUAUCAGAAGUGCGAAUGCUGACAUAAGUAACGAUAAAACGGGUGAAAAACCCGUUCGCCGGAAGACCAAGGGUUCCUGUCCAACGUUAAUCGGGGCAGGGUGAGUCGGCCCCUAAGGCGAGGCUGAAAAGCGUAGUCGAUGGGAAACGGGUUAAUAUUCCCGUACUUGGAUAAACUGCGAUGUGGGGACGGAGCAGGUUAGGUUAUCGCACUGUUGGAUAUGUGCGUUUAAGUUGGUAGGUGAGAAGUUUAGGCAAAUCCGGACUUCUUUAACACCGAGAGAUGAUGACGAGGCUCUACGGAGCUGAAGUAACCGAUACCACACUUCCAGGAAAAGCCACUAAGCUUCAGGUUUAUCUAAACCGUACUGAAAACCGACACAGGUGGUCAGGUAGAGAAUACUCAGGCGCUUGAGAGAACUCGGGUGAAGGAACUAGGCAAAAUAGCACCGUAACUUCGGGAGAAGGUGCGCCGGCGUAGAUUGUAGUCCCUUGCGGAUGAAGGUUGAACCGGUCGAAGAUACCAGCUGGCUGCAACUGUUUAUUAAAAACACAGCACUCUGCAAACACGAAAGUGGACGUAUAGGGUGUGAUGCCUGCCCGGUGCUGGAAGGUUAAUUGAUGGUGUAAUCGAAAGAGAAGCUCCUGAUCGAAGCCCCAGUAAACGGCGGCCGUAACUAUAACGGUCCUAAGGUAGCGAAAUUCCUUGUCGGGUAAGUUCCGACCUGCACGAAUGGCAUAAUGAUGGCCAGGCUGUCUCCACCCGAGACUCAGUGAAAUUGAAAUCGCCGUGAAGAUGCGGUGUACCCGCGGCUAGACGGAAAGACCCCGUGAACCUUUACUAUAGCUUGACACUGAACAUUGAAUUUUGAUGUGUAGGAUAGGUGGGAGACUUAGAAGCAGUCACGCCAGUGAUUGUGGAGUCGACCUUGAAAUACCACCCUUUAACGUUUGAUGUUCUAACGAAGAUUACGAAACGUGGUCUCGGACAGUGUCUGGUGGGUAGUUUGACUGGGGCGGUCUCCUCCCAAAGAGUAACGGAGGAGCACGAAGGUUUGCUAAUGACGGUCGGACAUCGUCAGGUUAGUGCAAUGGUAUAAGCAAGCUUAACUGCGAGACAGACAAGUCGAGCAGGUACGAAAGUAGGUCAUAGUGAUCCGGUGGUUCUGAAUGGAAGGGCCAUCGCUCAACGGAUAAA